AGUAGAACUACUGGGUCAGAUGGUAAUUCUAUGUUUAACUUUUUGAGGGACUGCCAAACUGUUUCCAUAGUAGCUAUACCAUUUUACAUAUCCACUAGUGAU
This 102-nucleotide microRNA precursor is filed under the name Marmota monax (woodchuck). Lineage: Eukaryota; Metazoa; Chordata; Mammalia; Rodentia; Sciuridae. The record is from RNAcentral.